AACGAACGCUGGCGGCAUGCCUAACACAUGCAAGUCGAACGAGACCUUCGGGUCUAGUGGCGCACGGGUGCGUAACGCGUGGGAACCUGCCCUUAGGUUCGGAAUAACUCCCCGAAAGGGGUGCUAAUACCGGAUAAUGUCUUCGGACCAAAGAUUUAUCGCCUUUGGAUGGGCCCGCGUUGGAUUAGCUAGUUGGUAGGGUAAAAGCCUACCAAGGCGACGAUCCAUAGCUGGUCUGAGAGGAUGAUCAGCCACACUGGGACUGAGACAUGGCCCAGACUCCUACGGGAGGCAGCAGUGGGGAAUAUUGGACAAUGGGCGAAAGCCUGAUCCAGCAAUGCCGCGUGAGUGAUGAAGGCCUUAGGGUUGUAAAGCUCUUUUACCCGGGAUGAUAAUGACAGUACCGGGAGAAUAAGCGCCGGCUAACUCCGUG
RNAcentral lists this ribosomal RNA (433 nucleotides) under uncultured bacterium. RNAcentral describes it as "partial 16S ribosomal RNA". It matches the Rfam family "Bacterial small subunit ribosomal RNA", at positions 29 to 507 of the family's 1533-position model. The record is from RNAcentral.